UACGUAGGCAGCGAGCGUUGUUCGGAGUUACUGGGCGUAAAGAGUGCGUAGGCGGUUUUCUAAGUUUGGUGUGAAAUCUCCCGGCUUAACUGGGAGGGUGCAGCGGAAACUAGAGUGCUAGAGGGUGGGAGAGGUAAGCGGAAUUCCUGGUGUAGCGGUGAAAUGCGCAGAUAUCAGGAGGAACACCAAUGGCGAAGGCAGCUCGCUGGGACGUGACUGACGCUGAGACGCGAAAGCGUGGGGAGCAAACAGG
This 253-nucleotide ribosomal RNA is filed under the name uncultured bacterium. Its description in RNAcentral is "partial 16S ribosomal RNA". It matches the Rfam family "Bacterial small subunit ribosomal RNA", at positions 524 to 776 of the family's 1533-position model. The record is from RNAcentral.